RNAcentral lists this long non-coding RNA (1160 nucleotides) under Elaeis guineensis (African oil palm). RNAcentral describes it as "long non-coding RNA (EGUI_LNC003819)". Lineage: Eukaryota; Viridiplantae; Streptophyta; Magnoliopsida; Arecales; Arecaceae. The record is from RNAcentral.
AUGGUCCUUCUCGAAUGUCUGCAGUAAUCCUAGCAAAUCAUGGUAGUUCACUGCAGGUUUGGUCAUUUUAUAAUGACUCAAGAAGGAUAGGUAGGACUUUAGUAGCGAGUUUAGGAUACCAUCCUUGCCUAACUAUUCAUGUAACAGAAAGUUAAAUUUGCUUAAGCAUUCAACUACUCGAUCAUAUAUAAUACAUGAUCUGUAACUAGCAUUUCUUCUCACAUAUGGGCAUUGAAUACAAUGUAGGAGGUUUUGUGUCUCUUAGCAUCCUCAAGGGUGCCGAAGGACUCAUUCAAUAAUUAAAUCAUCUCAUCAGAUUGUGCAUCCUCAAACUUACAACUAAGUUCAUCAUUCAUGGCUACCCUCAUAACGUAAUGCACUGUAGUGCGAUCACUGAGCCACUUCAUAUAAAUGUCUCUGCCAGCAUGGGAUGUAUUGACAAUAGGUUCUUUAGAUGUGGGAUCCAUAAGCACGUACAGGAUCUUUUCAUGCUCCAAGAUAAUCUUAAGUUUUUGAUACCAACUAUCAAAAUUUGAUCCGAUAAGCUUGUCGCUGUCCAACAGCAAUCGAAGAGAUAAUGUGUUGGCCAUAGCUGAAAAGAAAAAUAAAACCUAUUAGUAUAUGAAUUAUUUAAAUCCUAAGGAUAUGGACUUUAGUCUAAAGGUCCUUCCACUAUUUAAUAUGAAUUGAUAGCCUCUAUCUCCAAUUUGAGAAAUUACAUUAAUCCUUUAGCGGGUACUAGAAUCCACAUAGACUGCAUUCAGACCCGAGUGUGACUCAACCAACCAUAGUGUAUCCUUGGAUAGAUUCUUAAUUAAUUAUUUCAUCAAACAAUUUCUAGCAAUUAGGUCUUGCCCCAAGCAUCUUUUCAGUAGGCGUGUGGCAUCUCCACUGAAAAUCUUGAUUAGGUCUCACCAUUAACAUGACAAUACCAAGUGCAUCCAACAAACGAAUACCCAGACCCAAGUGUGGCUCGGCCAACCUGAUCAUUGAUCUGAAGGGCACAAUAAGGUGGUUAUAUGAUGAAUGAUAAUUUCAAUAUCCAAUAGACACCAGGCAUAUGGCACCUCCAAUGCCUAUUUAGAAUAUUGGAUGUAUUAUCAUGCACCUUAAUGGGAGGCUAUGAACAAAUUAUCCUCAUAACUGUAUCAUUUUAAGGA